Molecule: long non-coding RNA, 360 nt
Organism: Ruditapes philippinarum (Manila clam)
Lineage: Eukaryota; Metazoa; Mollusca; Bivalvia; Venerida; Veneridae
Exons: 2
Source: RefSeq, a predicted model, not a curated record
ACGUACCAUCGUAUCGCCCAACAGACACAUUAGAAAUAAAUGAGCUUAUAGAAUUCGUCAAGAGCAAGAAUCUAUCAAUUGAAGGUUCUAUUGAUGACUUGAAAACCAGAUACUUGAAUAGUGAAAGAAGUUGCAUCAUGGAUGGAAUCGAUAUCAGACUACCAGACACGCCAUUUGAUUUUGUACAUUAUAACAUCUCGGACAAUUGUAUGCGUGUCAACGUUUUUGUAGACAUAUCAGGAAUAGAUAUCUUAAGAACAUUUACUGCAUAUGUUGAGCUUGAUCCAUGUCACUAUGUCAUACAAGCGGCCUUUGAGAAGUUACACAAAACUGUGAUUCUUUUCGAAUAUGAUUGGGGUA